AGGAGAGUUUGAUCCUGGCUCAGAACGAACGCUGGCGGCGCGUCUUAAGCAUGCAAGUCGAAUGGCAAGAUAGAGCUUGCUCUAUCCUAGAAUGGCGGACUGGUGAGUAACGCGUGGGUGACGUACCCUUUAGAUGGGGAUAGCUGAUAGAAAUAUCAGAUAAUACCGAAUAAGCUGCAUGGAGUUAGAGUUCAUGCAGGAAAGGAUCUUUUGAUCCGCUGAAGGAGCGGCCCGCGUACUAUUAGUUAGUUGGUGAGGUAACGGCCCACCAAGGCGAUGAUAGUUACCCGGCCUAAGAGGGUGAUCGGGCACAUUGGGACUGAGAUACGGCCCAGACUCCUACGGGAGGCAGCAGCUAAGAAUAUUCCGCAAUGGACGAAAGUCUGACGGAGCGACGCCGCGUGGAUGAUGAAGGCCGGAAGGUUGUAAAAUCCUUUUAAGUGUGAAGAAUAAGUAGUGUGAGAGAAACGCAUUAUGGUGACGGUAACACUUGAAUAAGCAACGGCUAAUUACGUGCCAGCAGCCGCGGUAACACGUAAGUUGCGAGCGUUGUUCGGAAUUAUUGGGCGUAAAGGGCAUGUAGGCGGUUUUGCAAGCUUGGUGUGAAAUCCCGGAGCUUAACUCCGGAAUUGCGUUGAGAACUGCAUAACUAGAGUCACUGAGGGGCAAUCAGAAUUCCAGGUGUAGGGGUGAAAUCUGUAGAUAUCUGGAAGAAUACCAAUGGCGAAGGCAGGUUACCAGCAGAUGACUGACGCUGAGGUGCGAAGGUGCGAAGAGCAAACAGGAUUAGAUACCCUGGUAGCCU
Molecule: ribosomal RNA, 805 nt
Filed under: uncultured Spirochaetota bacterium
Lineage: Bacteria; Pseudomonadati; Spirochaetota
Description: bacterial SSU rRNA
Rfam family: Bacterial small subunit ribosomal RNA
Source: RNAcentral